ACAGUCCUCUGUGCAUCCCUCCGCAUGCCAGUUUCCUCUCACAGUAGCUGUAGUUUCUGAUUUCACAUCUCCUACUUUUGGUAAAAUAAAGGAGAGUGAUAUUGAGAGUGGUAUUACACUUGAGCGUUGUUUGCCCAGCAUGUGCUGUGCUGAAUCAUUGCCGUCCUUUCUGGGAGCUCCUGGCCGUGCCUGUGCUGCAGUGUCCUUCCUUGGCAAGGUAAGACCACAAUGCAAAUAUGAUUUAGACCAACAGUGCUGGCAGCUAGCAGGGGGCAGAGUCCCUGGGUAGCACUGUAACAGCUAGCAGCGUCCCUGUUUUAGGAUGGGUGGACCAUUGCUGGGUAAUAUCACUGUGAGAGAAAAGUCAGGCAAGCCAGUUCUACCUGUGACUAUUCAAUUUGAUUUUUCAUGAAUGCUUUUGGCCAACCUUGUAGUUGAUGUCUCAGAGAAUAUUUUGGAUCAUAUUGAGAUCCACAGUGAUCUAUGACAAAUGAUGUCAUGUUGACUUUAAGGAUGGUCCACAGACUGGCAUUUAAUGUAAAAGAUCUUAAAUUAAAAGGUCUCUGUUUUCUGGAAUAAAGCCUACAAUGCACAUUCCUAGCACCAGUAAUUAUUGGGCUUUCUUUGAAAGACAAAACAUAUGACAAACUAAACACCAGGUAGGUCAGCAGAAGUACAAAGACAUUCUUACAAUUCUGUCAGGUGUUUUGUUGAAUCUUGGACAGGAAUUGACAUUUGCUGAAGCUUUGGAAGAAAGGGAGCUGCUAACUGCCAGACCCAGAGCAGGGCCAGAGCCAAGGAGCAGCCCUUUGUUUCAUGGGUAGAUUCAUCCUCUCAACAACAAUUACUGGAGCUCCCAUAUUUCAUGGCAGAAACCAAGAAGAGCCAAGUAACCUUCUCUUACUAAAACAAAGUUUGGAUCUGAAAUAUCUGCUGUUCAUCAGAUUUCAAUGUUUGAAAUUCUUCAAAACAGUCCGAGAUUUGCAGCACUGGAGACAAAAACUAUAUUCUCAUUAAAAAACAUGCUUGAUGCAGAUGAAGGAUCAUAUGGAGAUGCUAACACUCAAAACAUAAAAUUGAUAAAACAUAACCACGUAUAAAUUAGAAAACACAUUACAGUGCUUUAAAGAUUUCUCAUUCAGUGUAUAAUUUGUGUAAUUAUACAGUUAGCCUUUUUUUUUAUGACUUAAAUAUUCAGGCCAACUUACAAUAAUAAAAAAUUUGCUAAAAUGACUUCUUGUAGAAAGAAUGACAACUGUUUAAAAUAAAUACAUAUUUUAAAAGAUCUUCUAUUGCUCUGAGACUACAUCCAUCAAAUUCCACUAGAUGUCAGCGUUAUAGAACCAGUUUGUUUCAGACUUAAAAGCAUUAAGUCCACUUGGUUUAUUAUUGUUACCUUGUCUGUGAAAUACAGUACAUGUCAACUACACGAAUUACCAAACAAGUAUUUAUGGUAGUAAACUGAACGCAAAAUAACAGUCUCGUUUCACUUUUUUCCCCCUCAUUUACUUGAUUUGAAUAGAGGACUUCAAAUCAGUUUCAUAAUGCUGAAAAUGUUUUGAAAUAAGAUGUAAAUAAUUUCAGUUUUACUAACCAUUUUUCCUAAUGCAGCGACAUGGACUUCUCACUUCAAAAAACAGCACUACAACCUCUUUUUGUCAGGUACUAUAAUACCUUGACGAUAAAGCUCUUUAUGUUAAAUACAGUGUAGUUGAUCCAGGUUGAAAAUUAUAAGGCACGUACAUUUUUUUUUUUUAAACCACGUAUUCUGAAAUAUUGUUACAAUCGUGCUAUAUUGAAUGGCCCGUCAUAGCUACUGACUUUUUUUCAUGGUUUUGGACAAGAGGAAUGAAAGACCACGAAAUGCAGAAAAAAUACAGAAAAAUACAGAAAACCAAGGACAAAACAAAACACAACACAUUGGUACAAUGUACACUACAACAGCAAAGAUCAAAUCUUCUCAUUUCUUCGACCAACUAUGCAUUGACAAUUGCAAAGCAUUCUUGGUUUUUGCACUGUAAAUACCUGUCUUUAUUUAGCUAGAGAUGUUAAUCACUGGAUUGCCACAAUACCUGAAAUAAAAAAAAAGCUGUUUUCUCUUCUAUCUUUUUCAACAAAACAAAGCUGCCAAGUAAUUGUUGUUGGAAAAACAUGAGAGAAAUAAUAGGUAAGUACAAAAAUGAUGAACUAGAACGACAUCUGAGAAGAGAAUAAUAGUUAAGGAACAUAUGAAACCAAAUGGCAACAGUUCUAGGCAUUUAUUCCAAUAUCUUAGAAAAUAAAAAUAAAAAAUAUUCUUCAUUGCACCACCAUUUAAAGAUAGAAAAACAAAUUUUUAGAUUAAGCCAAAAGAAAUGUGAAUUGUUUCCUUAUUUUUUUCCAUUUUAAGCUUUGUUUAUUCACAGUACAAAUAUACCCUGCUGGUACAUAUUUUAGUCACAAGAUGCACAAAGUCUGAUAAGGAGCACUGUUUCUUUUUCUCCUUUGUAAAGCUGCUCUGCCCUACAAAGCUCCAUCUCCCCCCCAAACUUUUCAGUGCUUUAUUAAAUUGCAGAACAGAUCCAGGAUCGAGUGCCUUAUGCGAGCAGAAGUACUAAGAUAAGAGCAUGCAUUCCCACACACACGCUCAGCCAAGAAAAAAAACAGUUCAGUGAUUAAUUCAAAUCCACCUUAAGGCAAAUAGAUACGUAUUUUCCUACCUCUUGCUGAAAAAUUUUACUUCUCAAAUUUCAAACAUGAAUCUGGAAUUCAGUAAAUGAACUAAUGUUUGGCAUAAAGAAUGCUUUAACCAAAAAGAAGAAAUAAAAAGGAAAUGGUUUUCCCAACAAUAAAUCAAUUAUUAUGCCUUAAUUCUAUCUACAUUUUGUUAAAGCAUUUUAUGCGCCUUCAGUAACAUCAGAUUGCAAGUUUUUUUGGCAACUUUUUUUUUUUUUUGUAAUAAAAAUUCAGACAGUGUUCUCUGUUUGCAAUCAGAACCACAACCUUAGUGCAAUAUUAUAUUUAUUUCUUACAGUAAUUUUGGUUGCCAUACAAGAGUAUUAAGGAUUGGGGAAAAGUGCAAGUUACAGGAGCUUGAUUUUUUAAUCAGUUGAAAUAAGAGGAAUUAAAGCACAAAAAUUACAGCAACAUAGAUAACGUGAACACAAGUUGUUACACAAACUAUAGCGAGAAACAUAUUAAUAUCUAGAAAAGAAAAGAAAAAACGUAAUGGAAAAAUUAUCAAUAUUUGUGGCUCAUACACAUAAUCAUCGCCAGAUCAACUGGGUAAUGCUUUUUAAGAACUGAGGAAAAAAAAAAAAAUCACUAUUUUUAUUAACUUAAGUACCACAAAUAAUUACCUUUUGUGAUAUGUAAAUUCUGUAAAUCAACAGUCACAUCUAGUCAUUUUAUAAUAUAUGAAUUCAACUUAAAAUGUUCUCAGACACCUAGGGAAAGGAGUCUGUGCAGUUAUACACAAUUUACAUCUUGUAAGAUUUUGGUAUUGUAUACACAAAUAUUACAGAAACUAGGCAUGUAAAUGCAAUUUAUUUAAAUUACAGUAUAUAAACAAAAGUUGAUCCUAAAACCCAGAAUAUCAUAACGUAUUUCAUAGAUCUCUAACAACUUGUUUUUCACUAUCAUAGUAGCAUGAAAGAAAUGGGUCUUCUUUCCUCCCCCCAACAUUUCCAGACCGAUGAAAAUACUCGGAGGCAACGUCGUAUCUGUUACUAUUGCUUUCUGUAGCAAAAUCAUCACACAGAGCUAGAGACCAAUUCAUCUUGGCAGAGGUGUAUUUUAUUGGUGAAAGUAGGUCCUCUCAGGUCUCCUUACCUUUACUUUGUAAGACACAAUGUAAAAAAUAAACUAUUUCAUUAGCUCUUUAAUGUGUUAAACCUCUUUUCUACUAAUUGUAUUGUACCUAGUCUUUCAGUACCUGAAAAGAUACACGAGCAAGAAACACACCUGUGUAAGAAAGGGAUUACUGUCACCUGUAAUUUACCGUGUAUGUCAGCACUUGUUCAACGUAAAUUCAACAAGAAGGUUGUGAUUAAAAAGCAGCUUAAAAGUCAACUUCUACAUUUUCUUUUUCUACCAUAUUUUCUAAUGUAUUUUCUGGCACAUGUUAUAGAGGUAAUAUCAACUGUACCCAAAGAAACAAAAAAAAAGAGCAUGGCAUUAGUGGUUUAUUUACUGAAUUCUGUCGUAUCACCAAAUGGAAGACAAUGAUGGCUAAAUUACCAUUUUUACACUUCUUAAAGUAUUCGAUGGCCUCAAGUUGCCUGUAUCGACUAUCUGAAUGAAACUGCCAUUGUCUACAACACCUAUGGAAAAAUUCAGUACUCUUGACAGUAAAAUGCCUUAGUACUUGAUUUUUAUUACAAGGUUACUUGGAACUUUCAAAUACAAAUAUAGCGUAGUAACAGAUGUUAAGUCAAAAGAUUUGCUGUUCCAUAAAGGGGGCAGGAGGCUAAGUAAGUUGCUUUUUAUGAGUAUCCAAUGCGUUGGUAACUAUAACCACUUUUGAAGAAAUAUUCAUCCUCCUUUGUAGAAGUUCUAGCAAAGAUAGAAAAUAUAACACAGCUCUGCUGGUUCAGAUGCAUCCAAAUGAGGUUGAUUUUAAAAAGGUCAAGACUUUAUAAUUAUUCCACAGAAAUAGUAGUAAACCACAAAAGUUUUUUUUUUUUUUUUUGUUUUUAACUUUCUAGCACUGAAGUGGCACAAAGGCUGCCCAGUAGACCAGCCACUUAUUUUUCUUAAAAUAUUGUGCUUAUAAACUAUCUGUACAACUAUUUAAACUUGCAGUAAAGAAAGAUAUUUAAAAUGCUAAACUUUAUGUACUCAUACUAGGGCUGUUGCAGACCUAAUUAGACACUUGUUUGUGAGCAAAAAUAAUCACAAUAAAAAAAUUAGAGAUAGGCUGGACCAUAUCAAGGAAAGAAAAUUCAGGUACCUUACAAAAUGUAAGGGAACCUGAAAGUAUGGUAGGUAGGCAGUCUAGCCAUCCAUACACAAUUUACCCACCUUGAACAUCUUGAAUAUUAUGUCAAUAAAGACCUACAAAACUCACAGAUAUUAAGAGGUGUUAAUUACAAGGGGAGUUCAAACAUGCAGAGAGAGAUUUGUUAACUUUUUUU
Long non-coding RNA from Tyto alba (common barn owl), 5114 nucleotides. RefSeq lists it as uncharacterized. Lineage: Eukaryota; Metazoa; Chordata; Aves; Strigiformes; Tytonidae. The record is from RefSeq and is a predicted model, not a curated record. The transcript is spliced from 2 exons.